UUUAAUAUGGCAGAACUAAGUGCAAUGAAUUUAAGAUUCAUAUAUAAAAUAUAUUUUUAUUAAAA
This 65-nucleotide transfer RNA is filed under the name Hylaeus episcopalis. RNAcentral's name for it is "tRNA-Leu". The record is from RNAcentral. Lineage: Eukaryota; Metazoa; Arthropoda; Insecta; Hymenoptera; Colletidae.